AUAUUUGUGCCGAAUUUUGGUUCUGAUGUGCUACACGAGCACGGAGGAUUAAUAGGGAAUUCCGUUAAAAACGGAAGCUGUUCCCGCAACUGUAAGCUAAGCCCUUUAGGGGUUUGUUACUACUACAAAGCCACUGUCGCAAGGUGUUGUGAUGGGAAGGUGUAACAAAAGCAAGCCAGGAGACCUGCCACAAUUCUUAAUUAAAA
This is a non-coding RNA of Dokdonia sp. 4H-3-7-5, 206 nucleotides long. Lineage: Bacteria; Pseudomonadati; Bacteroidota; Flavobacteriia; Flavobacteriales; Flavobacteriaceae. The record is from Rfam.